RNAcentral lists this long non-coding RNA (276 nucleotides) under Brassica napus (rape). RNAcentral's name for it is "long non-coding RNA (BNAP_LNC001258)". Lineage: Eukaryota; Viridiplantae; Streptophyta; Magnoliopsida; Brassicales; Brassicaceae. The record is from RNAcentral.
UUUACCACGUUUCCGCGGAUGCCGGUCUUCCCGUGCUAUUACCGGAGUAGCUGGUUUCGAUGAUCUCUUCAAACUCGUAAUUUAGACUGUCCGUGAAGCUCUUGACGCUAACAGUAAAAGAGGAUAGAUAGCAAACCUAGAGGGAAGUAUCGGAGCCUCUGAAACCGCCGGGACUAGGAAAACUGAGAACCGCCGAGGACCUGAAGAUAGACUCGACGACUCAUCGCCUUCAGACAAGACGGGCUGCAGUGAAGGUGAAUCCAGAAACAAAUGCUU